This 253-nucleotide ribosomal RNA is filed under the name uncultured bacterium. RNAcentral describes it as "partial 16S ribosomal RNA". It matches the Rfam family "Bacterial small subunit ribosomal RNA", at positions 524 to 776 of the family's 1533-position model. The record is from RNAcentral.
UACGAAGGGGGCUAGCGUUGUUCGGAAUUACUGGGCGUAAAGCGCACGUAGGCGGAUAUUUAAGUCAGGGGUGAAAUCCCAGAGCUCAACUCUGGAACUGCCUUUGAUACUAGGUAUCUUGAGUAUGGAAGAGGUGAGUGGAGUUCCGAGUGUAGAGGUGAAAUUCGUAGAUAUUCGGAGGAACACCAGUGGCGAAGGCGGCUCACUGGUCCAUUACUGACGCUGAGGUGCGAAAGCGUGGGGAGCAAACAGG